UCCCAAGGGUAUGGCUGUUCGCCAUUUAAAGUGGUACGCGAGCUGGGUUUAGAACGUCGUGAGACAGUUCGGUCCCUAUCUGCCGUGGGCGCUGGAGAACUGAGGGGGGCUGCUCCUAGUACGAGAGUUUUUGCUCAUUAUAUAAUCACUUCGUGGUCUUACUCCUAAACACAGGCUAUUAAAAUAAGCAUUAAAUGCGUUCUUGCUCAAGAUUAUUCCUGUCAUGAGUUAAGAUUACAUUAUUCUAACACUUUG
RNAcentral lists this ribosomal RNA (255 nucleotides) under Salmonella enterica subsp. enterica serovar Montevideo. Its description in RNAcentral is "partial 23S ribosomal RNA". It matches the Rfam family "Bacterial large subunit ribosomal RNA", at positions 2563 to 2925 of the family's 2925-position model. The record is from RNAcentral. Lineage: Bacteria; Pseudomonadati; Pseudomonadota; Gammaproteobacteria; Enterobacterales; Enterobacteriaceae.